CCCCGUCGGCAAUUGUUCUAGCUACUCCACGAGACACUCUCUCAGAGUCGGGUUGCUUGGGAAUGCAGCCCUAAGUAGGUGGUAAAUCCCAUCUAAGGCUAAAUACUGACGGGAGACCGAUAGCGAACAAGUACCGUGAGGGAAAGAUGAAAAGAACUUUGAAAAGAGAGUCAAAAGUGCUUGAAAUUGUUGAGGGGGAAGGAAUUGGAAGCCGUAAGUGUUCCCUAGCUUAAGUGGGCAACUCUGCCUAUUGUACGCUUGGGAGCCGGUCAGCAUCAGCUAUUGGACCGGGACAACAACUGCUUUAGCAGUGCAUGUCGGCCCAAUGGCUGAGGAAUUGAAAGG
This 345-nucleotide ribosomal RNA is filed under the name Trebouxia sp. ex Everniopsis trulla. RNAcentral describes it as "partial 26S ribosomal RNA". It matches the Rfam family "Eukaryotic large subunit ribosomal RNA", at positions 219 to 572 of the family's 3401-position model. The record is from RNAcentral. Lineage: Eukaryota; Viridiplantae; Chlorophyta; Trebouxiophyceae; Trebouxiales; Trebouxiaceae.